GGCAACUUGGCCGAGCGGUUAUGGCGCCAGUUUCAGGUUCACCUGAUUCAGUAAUUACUGGUUCGAAAGAGCGUGGGUUCGAAUCCCACAGUUGUCA
Molecule: transfer RNA, 97 nt
Filed under: Pseudogymnoascus sp. VKM F-3775
Lineage: Eukaryota; Fungi; Ascomycota; Leotiomycetes; Thelebolales; Thelebolaceae
Rfam family: tRNA
About the family: Transfer RNA (tRNA) molecules are approximately 80 nucleotides in length. Their secondary structure includes four short double-helical elements and three loops (D, anti-codon, and T loops).
Source: Rfam by way of RNAcentral